UACAGAGGGGGCAAGCGUUAUUCGGAAUUAUUGGGCGUAAAGGGCGCGUAGGCGGCCUGGCAAGUGGAUGGUGAAAUCCCUCGGCUUAACCGAGGAACUGCCAUCCAGACUGCUUGGCUUGAGACCGGGAGAGGUGAGUGGAAUUCCCAAUGUAGCGGUGAAAUGCGCAGAUAUUGGGAAGAACACCAGUGGCGAAGGCGGUUCUCUGGGACGGUACUGACGCUGAGACGCGAAAGCGUGGGGAGCGAACAGG
Molecule: ribosomal RNA, 253 nt
Filed under: uncultured bacterium
Lineage: Bacteria
Description: partial 16S ribosomal RNA
Rfam family: Bacterial small subunit ribosomal RNA
Source: RNAcentral